Long non-coding RNA from Brassica oleracea var. oleracea, 283 nucleotides. RefSeq lists it as uncharacterized. NCBI's taxonomy places the organism in Eukaryota, Viridiplantae, Streptophyta, Magnoliopsida, Brassicales, Brassicaceae. The record is from RefSeq and is a predicted model, not a curated record. The transcript is spliced from 3 exons.
UUGAAGAACCAAAAGAGUUCACACUUGAGCUAUUCUUUGUGGCUUAUUGCACUGAAGAACAACGAGAUUGUCGGCUUCGAGAUAAUAAGCAAGAAAAACGAGCUCGCAAAUAUCUCAAAGAUAUCAAAUGGAAUAAGGUUAAAGAACCAAAAAGAUUCACGGUUGAUCUUUUCUUUGAUCAGAACUCUUACUACCAGAACACUGUCUUCACCAAGACACAUCACAUGAUUGAUAAAUAUAAGCUUAUCUCGAGAAGGUCAUUGGGUCCAAUGUGAGAAAAAAA